AUUGAACGCUGGCGGCAGGCCUAACACAUGCAAGUCGAGCGGAUGAAGGGAGCUUGCUCCUGGAUUCAGCGGCGGACGGGUGAGUAAUGCCUAGGAAUCUGCCUGGUAGUGGGGGAUAACGUCCGGAAACGGGCGCUAAUACCGCAUACGUCCUGAGGGAGAAAGUGGGGGAUCUUCGGACCUCACGCUAUCAGAUGAGCCUAGGUCGGAUUAGCUAGUUGGUGGGGUAAAGGCCUACCAAGGCGACGAUCCGUAACUGGUCUGAGAGGAUGAUCAGUCAACUUGAAACUAAGACACGGUCCAGACUCCUACGGGAGGCAGCAGGGGGGAAUAUUGGACAAUGGGCGAAAGCCUGAUCCAGCCAUGCCGCGUGUGUGAAGAAGGUCUUCGGAUGGUAAAGCACUUUAAGUUGGGAGGAAGGGAAGUAAGUUAAUACCUUGCUGUUUGACGUUACCAACAGAAUAAGCACCGGCUAACUUCGUG
RNAcentral lists this ribosomal RNA (483 nucleotides) under uncultured bacterium. RNAcentral's name for it is "partial 16S ribosomal RNA". It matches the Rfam family "Bacterial small subunit ribosomal RNA", at positions 30 to 507 of the family's 1533-position model. The record is from RNAcentral.